UAAGGAAUAUUGGACAAUGGUCGCAAGACUGAUCCAGCCAUGCCGCGUGCAGGAAGACGGCCCUAUGGGGUGUAAACUGCUUUUGUACCAGAGAAAACCUAUCUACGUGUAGAUAGCUGAUAGUAUGGUAAGAAUAAGCAUCGGCUAACUUCGUGCCAGCAGCCGCGGUAAGACGAAGGAUGCAAGCGUUAUCCGGAUUCAUUGGGUUUAAAGGGUGCGUAGGCGGGCUUGUAAGUCAGUGGUGAAAUCUCUCAGCUUAACUGAGAAACUGCCAUUGAUACUGCAGGCCUAGAGUAUAGAUGACGUUGGCGGAAUAUGCCAUGUAGUGGUGAAAUACUUAGAUAUGUCAUAGAACACCGAUUGCGAAGGCAGCUAACGAAACUAUAACUGACGCUGAGGCACGAAAGUGCGGGGAUCAAACA
Molecule: ribosomal RNA, 422 nt
Filed under: uncultured bacterium
Lineage: Bacteria
Description: bacterial SSU rRNA
Rfam family: Bacterial small subunit ribosomal RNA
Source: RNAcentral